UACGAAGGGGGCUAGCGUUGUUCGGAUUUACGGGGCGUAAAGCGCGUGUAGGCGGGUCAUUAAGUUGGGGGUGAAAUCCCGGAGCUCAACUCCGGAACUGCCUCCAAAACUGGUGGCCUGGAGCAGGACAGAGGCAAGUGGAAUUCCGAGUGUAGAGGUGAAAUUCGUAGAUAUUCGGAGGAACACCAGUGGCGAAGGCGACUUGCUGGGUCCUUGCUGACGCUGAGACGCGAAACCGUGGGGAGCAAACAGG
RNAcentral lists this ribosomal RNA (253 nucleotides) under uncultured bacterium. Its description in RNAcentral is "partial 16S ribosomal RNA". It matches the Rfam family "Bacterial small subunit ribosomal RNA", at positions 524 to 776 of the family's 1533-position model. The record is from RNAcentral.